AUUGAACGCUGGCGGCAGGCUUAACACAUGCAAGUCGAGCGGGGAAGGGUAGCUUGCUACCUAACCUAGCGGCGGACGGGUGAGUAAUGCUUAGGAAUCUGCCAUUUAGUGGGGGACAACAUUCCGAAAGGAAUGCUAAUACCGCAUACGUCCUACGAGAGAAAGCAGGGGAUCUUCGGACCUUGCGCUAAAUGAUGAGCCUAAGUCGGAUUAGCUAGUUGGUGGGGUAAAGGCCUACCAAGGCGACGAGCUGUAGCGGGUCUGAGAGGAUGAUCCGCCACACUGGGACUGAGACACGGCCCAGACUCCUACGGGAGGCAGCAGUGGGGAAUAUUGGACAAUGGGCGGAAGCCUGAUCCAGCCAUGCCGCGUGUGUGAAGAAGGCCUUAUGGUUGUAAAGCACUUUAAGCGAGGAGGAGGCUACUUAGAUUAAUACUCUAGGAUAGUGGACGUUACUCGCAGAAUAAGCACCGGUUAACUCUGUGCCAGCCGCCGCCGUAA
Molecule: ribosomal RNA, 501 nt
Filed under: uncultured bacterium
Lineage: Bacteria
Description: partial 16S ribosomal RNA
Rfam family: Bacterial small subunit ribosomal RNA
Source: RNAcentral